RNAcentral lists this transfer RNA (74 nucleotides) under Methanobacteriota archaeon. RNAcentral's name for it is "tRNA-His". It matches the Rfam family "tRNA". From Rfam's summary of the family: Transfer RNA (tRNA) molecules are approximately 80 nucleotides in length. The record is from RNAcentral. Lineage: Archaea; Methanobacteriati; Methanobacteriota.
GUCGGGGUGGUGUAGCCUGGUUAGCACACGGGACUGUGGAUCCCGUAGCCCGGGUUCAAAUCCCGGCCCCGACC